This is a small nucleolar RNA of Meriones unguiculatus (Mongolian gerbil), 132 nucleotides long. NCBI's taxonomy places the organism in Eukaryota, Metazoa, Chordata, Mammalia, Rodentia, Muridae. The record is from Ensembl.
AGCACCUCUGCAAUCAUUGUGGUAGUGGCUGUUGUAUCAUCUGUGUGUCAGUAGGUGGCAGAGAGCAGAGAGUCUAUGUCUAAGCUCAGUGUUCUGACCUUUGAGCAUCUGAAUAGUCAGUAGCCUAACAUU